AGGGAUUGCAUGGGCGAAAGCCUGAUCCGCCUGCCGCGUGUGUGAAGAAGGCCUUUUGGUUGUAAAGCACUUUAAGCGAGGAGGAGGCUACCGAGAUUAAUACUCUUGGAUAGUGGACGUUACUCGCAGAAUAAGCACCGGCUAACUCUGUGCCAGCAGCCGCGGUAAUACAGAGGGUGCGAGCGUUAAUCGGAUUUACUGGGCGUAAAGCGUGCGUAGGCGGCUUCUUAAGUCGGAUGUGAAAUCCCUGAGCUUAACUUAGGAAUUGCAUUCGAUACUGGGAAGCUAGAGUAUGGGAGAGGAUGGUAGAAUUCCAGGUGUAGCGGUGAAAUGCGUAGAGAUCUGGAGGAAUACCGAUGGCGAAGGCAGCCAUCUGGCCUAAUACUGACGCUGAGGUACGAAAGCAUGG
RNAcentral lists this ribosomal RNA (409 nucleotides) under uncultured bacterium. RNAcentral's name for it is "bacterial SSU rRNA". It matches the Rfam family "Bacterial small subunit ribosomal RNA", at positions 357 to 764 of the family's 1533-position model. The record is from RNAcentral.